UCAAAAUUGAUACAUACUUGAGGGGAAUAAAUCCUUAAGCAUUACAAAAAUAAAGUGUUUCCUACUACGGCUUGAUUUCUUGGGCAUCAGUUGUUUAACUGAACUUUCUUUUUGGUAUUAUUUAUAGAAACAAAUGGUUAUAAUGUUAAUACAGUGAUAUUUGUUGCUUCCUCACUGAAAUCCCUAAUUCCAUUUGGUGAUUCUCGUUUGCUCCUUUUCUCACCUGGCUGUGAUGCACUUAGGGAGUUUGGGGUGGGAUAUGUGGUACUCUGAUUCAUUAAUGAUGACUUGAAAUUGUUUUUGUUUUUUGUAUUCUUUCUCUGUACAUUUCUUUUCUUGGUAGGUACUUUGAGUAUCAUCCUUUUCUUUUUUGCAUUUGCUAGCCACACAUUGCUGUUUUGCUUUUCUCCCUAGCAAUACACUUGCAAGCUAGACCUGCAUUGAACUUGUUCAAGGAAAAUUGGGUAAUCAGCCAUGUGAAAAACUAAAGUGGCUCCUUUCUUCUUUGGAGUGAGAGUCAGUGCCUUUAUGAUAGAUUCAGUCCUGUUAAAAGAAACUUCUGACUCAUGGUCAAGGCUGGGUUCUGUAUGAAGGCCUGUCUUUGAAACAGAGAGUAUUCUGAGAGUGGUAAAACCUAAUGUAAAUUUAGUCUGUUCAGAGGACACUUUUCCUUGUGGACAGGUACAUGUAGAUAGGACAUGAUCUGGUACUGCUGCAACAUUUUUGUUGUUAUGAGGAGAGCCAGGAAGAAGGAAGUUUCGUUUUACUUUUCAGUAUGGGAAAGGGAUUUAAGUACUAUGGUUGGAGGGAAGGAGCCUUUGAAAAGAAAAUAUUGUGAUUCAUUUAUUAUUUUUUUUAAAAUUUUAAAGGUUUUAUUUUAGAGAGAGUGUGGAGGGGUGGGGCAGAGGGAGAGGGGCAGAGAGUCUUAAGCAGGCUCUGCACUGGGCUUGAUCUCAUGAUACUGAGAUCAUGACCCUGAGCCGAAACCAAGAGUUGGAUGCUUAACUGAUGUGCCACUCAAGUGCCCUUGAUACAUUUAAACGUAUUGGAAUACUUAAGCUUUUAGGAGACUGUGGUUUAUGAUUGUAAGUAAUGAUACUGUGUUUGUCCCAUAAAACACUCAUUGUUUUUAUUGAUUUACUUUCUCAGAUGCUGUAGCAGGUUUCUGUAUUAGUAAUGAUCUAUUUUAAUUGAUUAGUUCUUUAAUAUUUAUUUACUUAUUUAAAGAUUUAAUUUAUUUAUUCAUGCUAGAGAGAGAGAGAGAGAGAGAGGCAGAGACACAGGCAGAGGGAGAAGCAGGCUCCAUGCAGGGAGCUCGACGUGGGACUCGAUCCUGGGACUCCAGGAUCAUGCCCUGGGCUGAAGGCAGGUGUUGAACACUGAGCCACCCAGGAAUCACAGUUCUUUAAUAUUUAAAAAUUAUUUUUAUUAUGGUAAAAUAUACAGUUUACUAAUUUUAAGUGUAUAAUUCAGUGGCAUUAAAUGCAUUUAAAUUGUUGUAUAAACAUCACUAUUUACUUCCAGAAAAUUUUGAUCAUUCCAAACAGAAACUCUUUACUACCCCCCCCCCCCCCCGCUGCUCCUGGAAAUCUCGAUUAUACUUUUUGUCUCCAUGAAUUUGAUUAUUCUAGAAACUUCAUAUAAAUGGAAUCAUACAAUAUUUGUCCUUUUGUUUCUGGCUUAUGUUACAGCAUAAUGUUUUCAAGGUUCGUCCAUGAUGUAGCAUGUAACAGACUUUCAUUUCUUUUUGUGAAUAAAUAAUAUUACAUUGUAUGUAUAUAUAUGACAUUGCUUAUCCAUUUGUCUGCUGGUGUACACUUGGGUUGUUUCCAGCUUUUGGCUCUUGUGAAUAAGGCUGCUAUAUGAACAUUGGUGUACAAGUGUCUCAGUUUGAGUCCUUAUUUUCAGUUGCUGGAUCAAAUAGUAAUUCCAUAUUUAACCUUUGAGAAAUUACCAAACCAUUUUCUCUACCAGCCAUACCAUUUUCCCUUACUAGCACCAGUGUGUGAGUUCCACAUCUUCACCAACAUUUCUUAUUUUCCUUUUUUUGAUAAUAGCCAUCUUAAAUAGAUAAGAAGUGGUAUCUCAUUGUGGUUUUGAUUUGCAUUUCGCUAGUGAUUGGUGACGUCGACCAUCUUUUCAUGUGCUUAUUGACCAUCUGUAGAUCUUUGGAAAAAUAUUCCAGUGUGUGUGUGUGUGUGUGUGUGUGUGUGUGUGUGUGUGUGUGUGUUGUGUGUAUUCCAUUUUGUUUAUCCAGUGUUUUUGGACACUUGGGUUGUUU
Molecule: long non-coding RNA, 2281 nt
Filed under: Canis lupus familiaris (dog)
Lineage: Eukaryota; Metazoa; Chordata; Mammalia; Carnivora; Canidae
Description: lncRNA (ENSCAFG00000050432.1)
Source: RNAcentral